Molecule: ribosomal RNA, 253 nt
Filed under: uncultured bacterium
Lineage: Bacteria
Description: partial 16S ribosomal RNA
Rfam family: Bacterial small subunit ribosomal RNA
Source: RNAcentral
UACGUAUGGUGCAAGCGUUAUCCGGAUUUACUGGGUGUAAAGGGAGCGUAGGCGGCGCGUUAAGUCUGAUGUGAAAACCCGAGGCUCAACCACGGGAGUGCAUUGGAAACUGGCGAGCUGGAGUGCCGGAGAGGUAAGCGGAAUUCCUAGUGUAGCGGUGAAAUGCGUAGAUAUUAGGAGGAACACCAGUGGCGAAGGCGGCUUACUGGACGGCAACUGACGCUGAGGCUCGAAAGCGUGGAGAGCAAACAGG